AAGCGGUUAUGACCAGACUUGGACAGGUUGAUCAUCCACGGUUCUCCGUGGUGCACUCUGCCUGUUCAGGCCAGCAUCAGUUCGCUUCGGGGGAUAAAGGCUUUGGGAAUGUGGCUCCCUCGGGAGUGUUAUAGCCCAUUGUGUAAUACCCUGAUCCGGACUGAGGUUCGCGCAUCUGCAAGGAUGCUGGCGUAAUGGUCAUCAC
RNAcentral lists this ribosomal RNA (205 nucleotides) under Clonostachys pityrodes. RNAcentral describes it as "partial large subunit ribosomal RNA". The record is from RNAcentral. Lineage: Eukaryota; Fungi; Ascomycota; Sordariomycetes; Hypocreales; Bionectriaceae.